GGAGAUGUCCUAAUGGAUGGACAACUUCAGCCAGCGAGCCAGAGGAUUUGAUGGAGGGGGGGAGGACGGGACUCUCAGGCUCUGCUCCAGAUCCACUUCCUCAGCUGCAGUAUUCUGUUGAAGAGUGACAGAAACCGAGCUUCGGAAUGAAUAGCUGUAGCCCUAACAGACACUCCCCACCUGGAGACCUGACCAACGGCUGGAGGUCUGUUAUGUGAUUUGUCAGGGAGGGAGGAGAGUUUGAUCACCUUGGACUCACAGUAGCUGGGCUGUGACAGGGCAGUUCUGACCACUGGAGGAGCAGAAGCCACACUCGAUCAGCUCAAAUCCCGCGGCUGGGAAAAUCAACUUCUCAAACCGCGCUCUUGUGCGUGGACGAGGAAAAAGGCAGAAUGGAGCCAGAGGUUCAAAAUCUGCACAGUGUAGAAAGGCCUGUGUUUUUGACAGGAGGGCUGGCUGUCCCCCUGGCAGUGCACGGUGAGACUGUCGGGUCUCCUUCGUGUUGCACAGGUGUCGGUGGCUGAUAUGACACAAAGUAAUAGGCCUCUAACAGCCCGUGUGGAGAUGCAGUCAGGGCGGCUUUAGAUGGCAGCAGAUAAACCGCAGCCGCCUGGCAUUAAUGUCGACAGCGACAAAAGCAGAGCAAGCGUUCGCUGGAUGGGACUCGUCUCCGCUGUCACACGAGCUGGGCAUCCAAGACGAUGAGGAAUACCAGAAACCUUUGAGGGGGCAGGUUUCCAGCCACUGAGGGGUGACUACUGGCUACAAAAAAGACCCAAGAAGAUCAUUUUCACGUUUGUUUCCAAGCGCCGCAACCAUUAAAAAAAAAGACAGACAUACAAAAAGACUAUAAUAGCAUUUUAUUAAAUAUCUAGCUCAGUGACUUGACUCAGUUUCUACAUAUUUCAUAAUAAUAGUUUCAUGCUUAACAGGUAGAGCUCAUGCAUUACCCUGCCCACCCCCAAAGGUCUUGCAAUUUUUUUAAUAGGGUAAAUCAAUAACUUAGUGCAUGAACCCAUUAGAAAUGUAAGAGGUACACCACCACCACCACCAACAUACGGGACAUGGAGGAUCGCCAUAUGGUGGACCGUCUUAUCCCAUUCACCCAUUCGAUUUUACUCAAAGUCUAUGGGAAAAAAAGUUGUCCCUUUUUUAAAAAGUGCAUAUCCCGUGGAGACUUAAUUGGCCCGGCACCUCCAAAAACCCUGAGGGGCCCGAGCCUGGAGCCAGGUAUGCUGAGACGGGGAACGUGCUCAAAGGUUAAGACAUAUUUUCAGCUAUCAAACAGAAGCAGGGAGAUGCACGUUCAGUCAAAACAGGGACAGAAAAGAACUCCACCAUUUCCAAUUAAGAAAAUAAUCACAAUUUAAAACCUUUUCAAAGUUAAAAUGUACAGUUGCUAUAGAGGACAACAGGUGAUUUGGGUUAUCGUCUUGUUUGGUUUGAGAGAGCGAGGACAUCACGCGGGAAACAGCACGUCACACAUCGUCACAAACACACAUCUAAAGAAGCAGGAUACAGCGAUUAAAAAACAACAACAACAGAAAAGAACUCGUUACAAAAGUCGGACGGAUGCUGACAUCAUCUUUGGUGAGCUUUUACUGGCGGUGAAAGUAACUGAAGGGUUCACACCGACAACAUGAGCAGGGUCUGGGUUCACUGGACUCGCUGCAGGACAGAUUCACACUCUGACAGGUUUGCAUAAGGGGUUGUUACUCUGAUGUAGUGCAACGGGGCUUGUGUUGACAUGUGUGUUCAACCUAUAAGUGUCACUUCAGACUCAGCUGGGUUUUUUUUUAAUCAGGAUGCCUAAAAGUUUUCCUUAUGUUGGCGUCAUCUAACGAGCAAAUGAUCCAAAACCGCAAGCAUCUGUUAGGAAUUCUACACUGGCCUAUUUAAGGAGCAUUUUGUCUUGUGAUAGAAAUAUCUAGUGGGCCAACUUUGUCCAGCCCUGGUGAAAAGGUGUGAGGAGACACAUUUGGACAUCUAUCAGUCUGCUGAACUGAUCUAAACAAAGCACAGAUGGACCACCACCAUGGCUGAGCGCCGAGGUCUGGCUGUCGUUCCCUUAAUGGACGCUAGACGCUAGCAGUUGAGGUGUGUAGUACCUCAGCAUGUGUAGGAAUUCAUUCUUUAUCAUGUUAUCACAUUUUGACCACUACACGCUAAAUUUAAUGGAAGGCUUACUUCCUAAGAUCUGUCUCUGUCUACAGUCUGUGAGCAUACUCCAUUUGUAUUCAAACCAUUCAAAACCUCAUCUAUUACCAUUUCAUUAAAAAUGUGUGCUUUAACAUAAAAUAAACCCAGAAGGUAGUUUAUUAAAAACGGCCACUGCUCUGAAGAUUUUUAUCAACUCAUAGUUAAUCUGCUUCAUUAUUAAAAAAGAUUUUCAACCUAUUUCCCCAACUCUGCCUUAAAUUAAAUGUCUUUUCUCGAUUCAGCUGAAUUUAGCACGGAGCGGACAGGAAGUAAAGCGCCAACAUAAUAAACAACAUCCGGUUACUUUUCAAAAUAAAACACUCCGUGUUGACACCAGCACACGUCUUGAGGCCAGCUGUCUACCGUACUGCGCCAUGGCGGACUCAAACCGCAGCCGGUGGGGACUGCCGGAAGGCGGAGCAAAACCGGAUCGGAGCCGCAACGCAGCGGACUAUAUCCAGCGGAAAUUGGGCCGACUCAUUAGCUAUUCUCAUGGCUAAAAACAACAUACAAAGACGCUAACGUUAGCGUUGGGCUAAUACGAGCCAAGUUGGCAAACCUUACAUAUUUCAUGAAAAUAACAAAUUCC
Long non-coding RNA from Acanthopagrus latus (yellowfin seabream), 2788 nucleotides. RefSeq lists it as uncharacterized. The transcript is spliced from 4 exons. Lineage: Eukaryota; Metazoa; Chordata; Actinopteri; Spariformes; Sparidae. The record is from RefSeq and is a predicted model, not a curated record.